GACAGAGGGGGCAAGCGUUGCUCGGAAUCACUGGGCGUAAAGGGCGCGUAGGCGGGAUGGCAAGUCAGUCGUGAAAUCUCUCGGCUCAACCGAGAAACGUCGGCUGAUACUGCCGUUCUUGAGGGAUGCAGAGGAGACUGGAAUUCCCGGUGUAGCGGUGAAAUGUGUAGAGAUCGGGAGGAACACCGGUGGCGAAGGCGAGUCUCUGGGCAUCUCCUGACGCUGAGGCGCGAAAGCGUGGGGAGCAAACGGG
This 253-nucleotide ribosomal RNA is filed under the name uncultured bacterium. RNAcentral describes it as "partial 16S ribosomal RNA". It matches the Rfam family "Bacterial small subunit ribosomal RNA", at positions 524 to 776 of the family's 1533-position model. The record is from RNAcentral.